ACGGGCAAACAGGUCAAAAGAAGUAGAUUGCUAUUUUUUUGCUCUCCUCUAAGCGCAGAGAAAAUACCAGGAAAUAGCUAGGUCUCAAACCACCUAUUUAUGCUUUGACAAUUUACUUUAGUUAUGGCUUUGAAAAAUUUAGAUUCCCAAUCCCCCCACCCAAUUUAGAUCUCUGCUAGCAGAAGUUCCAGCCAUCCUACAGCACUCAUCCAUCUCAGCCCUCAAGUUCUUGUGGUUGAAGGAGUUACGUCAGUUGGAAAUUUUGCUCAUCUUUUGAUAUUUGUCAGAAGGCUGUUUAUUCCCUUUUGAGUAGACCAGAGUUGGAGGCAUGCCUCAGACAUUGCAUCAAGAGGAC
RNAcentral lists this long non-coding RNA (355 nucleotides) under Homo sapiens (human). RNAcentral's name for it is "HSALNT0034444". The record is from RNAcentral. Lineage: Eukaryota; Metazoa; Chordata; Mammalia; Primates; Hominidae.